GUGCCAGCAGCCGCGCGGUAAUACGAAGGGACCUAGCGUAGUUCGGAAUUACUGGGCUUAAAGAGUUCGUAGGUGGUUGAAAAAGUUGGUGGUGAAAUCCCAGAGCUUAACUCUGGAACUGCCAUCAAAACUUUUCAGCUGGAGUUUGAUAGAGGAAAGCAGAAUUUCUAGUGUAGAGGUGAAAUUCGUAGAUAUUAGAAAGAAUACCAAUUGCGAAGGCAGCUUUCUGGAUCAUUACUGACACUGAGGAACGAAAGCAUGGGUAGCGAAGAGGAUUAGAUACCCUCGUAGUCCAUGCCGUAAACGAUGUGUGUUAGACGUUGGAAAUUUAUUUUCAGUGUCGCAGCGAAAGCGAUAAACACACCGCCUGGGGAGUACGACCGCAAGGUUAAAACUCAAAUGAAUUGACGGGGACCCGCACAAGUAGUGGAGCAUGUGGUUUAAUUCGAAGAUACGCGCAGAACCUUACCAACACUUGACAUGUUCGUCGCGACUUUAAGAGAUUAAAGUUUUCGGUUCGGCCGGACGAAACACAGGUGCUGCAUGGCUGUCGUCAGCUCGUGUCGUGAGAUGUUGGGUUAAGUCCCGCAACGAGCGCAACCCUCACUUUUAGUUGCCAUCAUUAAGUUGGGCACUCUGAAAGAACUGCCAGUGAUAAGCUGGAGGAAGGUGGGGAUGACGUCAAGUCCUCAUGGCCCUUACGUGUUGGGCUACACACGUGCUACAAUGGUAUCUACAACAGGAAGCGAAACAGCGAUGUUAAGCAAAUCCUUAAAAGAUACCUCAGUUCGGAUUGCACUCUGCAACUCGAGUGCAUGAAGCUGGAAUUACUAGUAAUCGUGGGAUCAGCGUGCCACGGUGAAUGCGUUCCCGGGUCUUGCACACACCGCCCGUCAAAUCCAUAUG
This 906-nucleotide ribosomal RNA is filed under the name uncultured bacterium. RNAcentral's name for it is "bacterial SSU rRNA". It matches the Rfam family "Bacterial small subunit ribosomal RNA", at positions 505 to 1409 of the family's 1533-position model. The record is from RNAcentral.